Molecule: ribosomal RNA, 528 nt
Filed under: uncultured bacterium
Lineage: Bacteria
Description: partial 16S ribosomal RNA
Rfam family: Bacterial small subunit ribosomal RNA
Source: RNAcentral
UGGGGAAUUUUGGACAAUGGGCGAAAGCCUGAUCCAGCAAUGCCGCGUGUGUGAAGAAGGCCUUCGGGUUGUAAAGCACUUUUGUCCGGAAAGAAAUCCUUGGCUCUAAUACAGUCGGGGGAUGACGGUACCGGAAGAAUAAGCACCGGCUAACUACGUGCCAGCAGCCGCGGUAAUACGUAGGGUGCAAGCGUUAAUCGGAAUUACUGGGCGUAAAGCGUGCGCAGGCGGUUUGCUAAGACCGAUGUGAAAUCCCCGGGCUCAACCUGGGAACUGCAUUGGUGACUGGCAGGCUAGAGUAUGGCAGAGGGGGGUAGAAUUCCACGUGUAGCAGUGAAAUGCGUAGAGAUGUGGAGGAAUACCGAUGGCGAAGGCAGCCCCCUGGGCCAAUACUGACGCUCAUGCACGAAAGCGUGGGGGAGCAAACAGGAUUCAGAUACCCUGGUAGUCCACGCCCUAAACGAUGUCAACUAGUUGUUGGGGAUUCAUUUCCUUAGUAACGUAGCUAACGCGUGAAGUUGACCGCCU